UACGAAGGGGGCUAGCGUUGCUCGGAAUCACUGGGCGUAAAGCGCACGUAGGCGGCUUUCUAAGUCAGGGGUGAAAUCCUGGAGCUCAACUCCAGAACUGCCUUUGAUACUGGAGAGCUCGAGUCCGGAAGAGGUGAGUGGAACUGCGAGUGUAGAGGUGAAAUUCGUAGAUAUUCGCAAGAACACCAGUGGCGAAGGCGGACUCACUGGUCCGGUACUGACGCUGACGGUGCG
Molecule: ribosomal RNA, 234 nt
Filed under: uncultured bacterium
Lineage: Bacteria
Description: partial 16S ribosomal RNA
Rfam family: Bacterial small subunit ribosomal RNA
Source: RNAcentral